Molecule: non-coding RNA, 31 nt
Filed under: Mus musculus (house mouse)
Lineage: Eukaryota; Metazoa; Chordata; Mammalia; Rodentia; Muridae
Source: RNAcentral
GAGACCAGUUCUAAUCUCAUUCCUUCCCAAG